AGUGGUAGGUGCAGCAAUCAUUGCACUAUUUAUAAUUCUCUUGUUCAGAAGUUUUUAGAUCAGUUAAACAUAGGAUGUUAUUUAAGAAGAGGAAAACAGCUUGCCUAUAAAACUUGCCGAAGAAAUCAAAGAAAGAUGUAAAAUUCUUGACAAGCUUAGCCUUAUUUAAAAAAGAAAAGAGUAUAAAGGACCAGAAUCAUCGUUAACUGAUGCCAGCCUCGAGAGAGAGCCAUCAAAAGUUCCAAGUCUGGAGGAAGCUUAUGGAAACCUAGAUACAAUCAACUUUGUACUUAAGCAUGAAAUAACUUCUCUUGAAAAAUAACUGAAAUAAAAGAGAAAUCCAAAUGCUCAGAAAAAGAUGAGUUGAUGGAUGACAUUAUAA
This 382-nucleotide long non-coding RNA is filed under the name Homo sapiens (human). RNAcentral describes it as "non-protein coding lnc-PSAT1-2:1". The record is from RNAcentral. Lineage: Eukaryota; Metazoa; Chordata; Mammalia; Primates; Hominidae.